Molecule: RNA transcript, 1562 nt
Organism: Aegilops tauschii subsp. strangulata
Lineage: Eukaryota; Viridiplantae; Streptophyta; Magnoliopsida; Poales; Poaceae
Source: RefSeq, a predicted model, not a curated record
UUGGUUACGCGAUUACUACCGGUUAACAUUUCUAAGGCAACCCCACGAAACUUCGUUCCAUCUCUGCGAGAUCUGCCGUGCUUCUCCCCUUGCUCCCCGUACCGACUCCCGGUUCUUUUCUCCGGUUCCUCGGCGAUGGUCGUCUGCAAAUGCCGCAAGGCGACGAGGGUUUAUUGCUUCGUCCACCAGGUUCCGGUCUGUGGCGAGUGCAUCUGCUUCCCAGAACAUCAAUUAUGCGUGGUAAAAAACUAUGCUGAAUGGGUUGUUAAUUCUGAUUAUGACUGGCCACAACACUGUUCUUUGUGUAAUUUGGUUCUAGAAGCUGCAAGUGAAGAAACUACACGAUUGGGUUGCCUCCAUGUGAUGCACACAAAAUGCUUGAUAUCACAUGUCCAAAGUUUUCCUGCACAAACAGCACCAGCAGGAUUUGUCUGCCCCUCAUGUUCAAUUCCUAUAUGGCCUCCUUCGAGUAUUAAAGAUACAGGCUCCCGCCUCCAUGCUAAACUGAAGGAAGCAGUAGUCCAGACUGGUCUGGAGAAGAAUGUAUUUGGGAAUCAUUUUGUGACAAUGCCUAAAGCUGAUGCCUGCACACCCCCUACAUUUGCUUCAGACCCCCUUAAGCGUCUAUCAUAUUCUGGUGAAUCUACUGAUGCAAACAUGCUUAACUCUUCGAAAGAUGCAACUUUAUCAUCAGCAGUACUCUCCCAGGGGGAUACAUAUCCUGCUGGGAUGUACUCUUCUGGGACUCUUAGCCAUGUGGAACCAGAAAUAGUUGAAAUAGAUGGUCCUAGUACCAUAGCAACAAAGUUCCCAGAGCAGGAGCCCAAUUUCAUCAGAAGUCCAAGCCCGCACGGGCCUAGUGCCACGACAAGAAAAGGUGCUAACUAUGUUGAGAGACAAAAUUCAGAGAUGUCUUAUUAUGCUGAUGAUGAAGAUGCAAACCGCAAAAAGUACACUAAAAGGGUUUACAGGUACAUACCGUCACAAAUUUUUAAGGAUGCUGCUACCUUUUUGGUCUAGUGCCCUGCCAACAUUACCAGUUACAGCACCCCCUAAAAAGGAAAAUGAUGCUCCAGAAGGCCGGUCACGACAUCAGAGGACGUCACGAAUCGAUCCCACAAAGAUCUUACUUGCAAUGGCAAUCAUGGCAUGUAUAGCAACGAUGGGAAUUCUCUACUACCGGUUGUCGCAGCGCAGUCUUUCUGAAAACUUUGCCCAUGAUGAGGCUCAGUAGUAGAGUUGAAACUUCCAACUUGCAGUUUGUUUCUGGUACUGCCUUGCUGCUGAUUCAAGGGUUUUACCCUGCCUGUAUUAUUUUCCAUUUCCCCCUUUUUGGGCCUUUCAGGGUGGUUGUGGAUGGGAAGGUGGAGGUAGUGAUUAUAGUUACAUAAGAGUUAUAGCAGACUGGUUUUAUAUGCUGAUUCAUCUGUUAUCUUAUACCAGACGGGAAAUUGUUGAAGUUGUCAACUAUUUUCUUAUUCCUGUUGUCGCGCCUUCUGAACUGCUACAGGUGUUACUUUGAUCGAGCCAUUCUAAAACAUCGCUGUGUUAUUUCUCCAGUA